Molecule: long non-coding RNA, 2360 nt
Organism: Triticum aestivum (bread wheat)
Lineage: Eukaryota; Viridiplantae; Streptophyta; Magnoliopsida; Poales; Poaceae
Exons: 4
Source: RefSeq, a predicted model, not a curated record
CCCCAACUCGAGAUGGAGAUGGAAGCGCCGCCGCCGACCUCGUCCUGCCCACCCGCUCCGGAUCCUGCCCCAACGGCUACCCACCAGCUCCACUUUCCUUCUAUACCCGCCGCCACGCCACGCACGCCACCUCGCCGAAGCCGUGUCCUGCAAGGACAAGCCUCCGUCUCCCGCGACUGCCUCUGGCCCGGCUAUAAAGGCGCGCCCUUUGGCCGGCCAGCUCCCCCUCUCUUCGCCGAGGCCACUCCUCCUCUCUUCGAGUCUUCGUCCGCGCCAUGCCUCUCGCCUCGAUUCGUCCUCGACUGGUGCCUCGCCUCCUCUCGCGUAUGGUUUCAUCUCACCCAUCCUCGCUCGAUUCGUCCGUUCAGAUUAGAAGAAGCAGUUUUGGUUUUGCUCAUCCACGGGUUCUUGAUUUAUUUGGUUCUGCUCGUCCUCGCUGUUGUUCGUUCAGAAAGUGUCUUGUUCUUUCGAUUCUUCUCGUCCUCGCUGUCGUUCGUCUAGGAAUUGCGUAGGAAUUGCGUCUGGUUCAUUCGAUUCUGCUCGUCCUCGCCGUCGUUCAUUUAGAAAUGGCGUCUGGUCCUCGCCAUCGUCAGUUUAGACAAAAUCGCGUCUGAUUUGAUUCUCCGCGUUCUCGCCGUAGUCCGUUUGCAAUCGCGUUUGCUUUGAUUCUGCUCGGUCCCCUGUGUUGCUGCUGGGUUCGUUACGCUCAUGCUCUCACGUGUUCUUCGUGCCAUCUCAUCGUGGGUAUCCGUGGAGGAAGCGAGCGGUCGGUCAGUCGGUUUGGGUCAUCUGGUUUGCGAACUAACAAGUCUGUUUGAGAAACUUCUGCGUCCUGCCUGCGUUUCGUGUUCGUGACUGCUUUUGAAAUUGGAUUGCCGUUUAUCGCGCUCGUUCAGAUCGGUUCCUCUGUCCCGUCACCUGCGCUGUUCGUCCGUUAUUUUCAUAUCUGAAAUGCAUGCGCCCUUUGAUACUACUGUACUUGAUGGAUGUUCAGAUCUCAAACGCUGCCUUGUUCAGAUCGGUUCUUCUGAUUGAAAUAGGAUUGUUGCCCCUCUGUCGAUACUUAUUCUACUUGAUGGAUGUUCAGGGUGUUACUGCUUAUGUUCUUUUCAAUUGCUUAAUUCUUGUCAUGCUUUGCUUAUGUUCCCAUAUAUGGUUGUGUGUAUUCAGGGGUGCUUAGGCAGAAAGAUUUACUAGAGUGCAAACCAUGUAAUUCCUCAUGUUGCUGCUACUUCACAGUCACAGUGCUUGAAUUUCUUUAUAGCUUUAUCUGAAUCACCCUCACCGCUCUAGAGAAAUCAGUUUACUCAUUCAAGUUCUGGAAUGUCUUUAUAGCUUUCUCUGUUUGCGCCCCUAUCUAUGUUUGUUUCUUGUGUGCAAGCGCCGCUCCAUUCUGUGUGUGUGGCUUGAUGGUGAAUAUGUGUGGCUUGACUCUGUGUGUGUGUGGCUUGAUUGUGUGUGUGUGGCUUGACUGUAUGUGUGUGUGAAUGUGUGUGGCUUGAUGGUGAAUAUGUCUGGCUUGACUCUGUGUGUGUCUGUGUGUGCGACUGUGAGUGGCUUGACUCUGUGUGUGUGGCUCUGUGUGUGUGUACGACUGUGUGAAUAUUGCAUUUGCUUGAUGGUGUGGCUUUUGGCUUGUAUGCUUUGUUGAUUGAUUUGGUUGUAUAACUUGUGUUUUAUAUUGUUGUGGCACGAUUGAUUGUUGUUUGUUGAAUGUGAACUCGUAUCUUGACGAAUAAUCAUGUAUGCUAACUUGGUAUCGGUAGUUCCUGAUCAUAGGUAACACACCUAUUACCUUUUUAGUAUAGACUAACUAUUCUUUUUUCUGAACUUUUUUUGUGUUAUGUCUUUACAUUGCACUGCUCCCAGAUCCAUAUCGACAUGCCCACGCUGUCUGAUGAGGAUAAAGAUGUAAGGAACUCCUCCCAAGAAUCUCUCUUACUGCUUGUAUUAACUUGGCGACUAGACUUUACAUGUUUAAAAAAAAUCGUGAAACUGGAGCUCCUUGUUGUAACCCAUUAUAUGACUUUAUGAGCAUGCACCACUUUCAGGUUAUGAAAAAAUAGGGUGCCCCAACCAAGAUUGACUUCCUCUCUCUUUCUUAUACAAGACAUGCAGAAGAUGUGCUGCCAGCAUGGGAGUUCCUCUCAAAGUUAGGUGAACUUAGUCAAACUCUGUUUUUUGCAAAAAAAAUGAGAAUGUGGAGAGCUUGAACCAUUUUGAUUGGAUCCUGGAAGAAGCAGAUGGUAUAAUUCUGUCAAGAGGAAACCUUGGAAUUGAUCUUCCACCUGAAAAGGUGUUCUUAUUUCAGAAGUCUGCUCUGCACAAGUGCAACAUGGCUGAGGCAACUGAUGUGGCAA